RNAcentral lists this ribosomal RNA (1185 nucleotides) under uncultured organism. RNAcentral describes it as "bacterial SSU rRNA". It matches the Rfam family "Bacterial small subunit ribosomal RNA", at positions 51 to 1225 of the family's 1533-position model. The record is from RNAcentral.
AAGCAUGCAAGUCGAACGGUAUGCAUGGUGCUUGCACUGUGCUGAGAGUGGCGAACUGGUGAGUAACACGUAGGUGAUCUACCUUGAGGCCUGGGAUAGCCUGUGGAAACACAGGGUAAGACCGGAUGAGCCCCUGUACUUGCGGGUAGAGGGGGAAAGGUGCUAUGGCACCGCCUUAAGAUGAGCCUGCGUCCCAUUAGUUAGUUGGUGGGGUAAAGGCCUACCAAGGCGACGAUGGGUAGCCGGCCUGAGAGGGUGAUCGGCCACACUGGGACUGAGACACGGCCCAGACUCCUACGGGAGGCAGCAGCUAAGAAUCUUCCGCAAUGGACGAAAGUCUGACGGAGCGACGCCGCGUGAACGAAGAAGGCCGGAAGGUUGUAAAGUUCUUUUGCGGGUGAAGAAUAAGGCGAGGAGGGAAUGCCUCGCUGAUGACGUUAGCCUGUGAAUAAGCCCCGGCUAAUUACGUGCCAGCAGCCGCGGUAACACGUAAGGGGCGAGCGUUGUUCGGAAUUAUUGGGCGUAAAGGGCGUGUAGGCUGUUUUGUAAGCCUGGUGUGAAAGUGCACGGCUUAACUGUGUAUGUGCGCUGGGAACUGCAAGACUAGAGUCCGGAAGGGGGAGGUAGAAUUCCUGGUGUAGGGGUGAAAUCUGUAGAUAUCAGGAAGAAUACCGGUGGCGAAGGCGACCUCCUGGUCCUGGACUGACGCUGAGGCGCGAAAGCGUGGGGAGCGAACAGGAUUAGAUACCCUGGUAGUCCACGCUGUAAACGAUGUGCACUAGGUGUUGGGGCAAGAGCUUCAGUGCCGAAGCGAACGCGAUAAGUGCACCGCCUGGGGAGUAUGCUCGCAAGGGUGAAACUCAAAGGAAUUGACGGGGGCCCGCACAAGCGGUGGAGCACGUGGUUUAAUUCGAUGAUACGCGAGGAACCUUACCAGGGCUUGACAUAUACCGGGAGCCGUGAGAGAUCACGGUGCCCCUUUGGGGCCGGUAUACAGGUGCUGCAUGGCUGUCGUCAGCUCGUGCUGUGAAGUGUUGGGUUAAGUCCCGCAACGAGCGCAACCCCUACUGUCUGUUGCCAACAGGUGAAGCUGGGGACUCAGGCGGAACUGCCGGUGACAAACCGGAGGAAGGUGGGGACGACGUCAAGUCAUCAUGGCACUUAUGUCCUGGGCUACACACGUGC